Molecule: ribosomal RNA, 234 nt
Filed under: uncultured bacterium
Lineage: Bacteria
Description: partial 16S ribosomal RNA
Rfam family: Bacterial small subunit ribosomal RNA
Source: RNAcentral
CGGCGACGCCGAGCGGACCCGAAAGCGUCUCAGUUCGGAUCGGAGUCUGCAACCCGACUCCGUGAAGCUGGAUUCGCUAGUAAUCGCGCAUCAGCCAUGGCGCGGUGAAUACGUUCCCGGGCCUUGUACACACCGCCCGUCAAGCCAUGGGAGCCGGGGGUGCUUGAAGUGCGUCGCCGCGAGGCGCGCCCUAGAGCAAAACCGGUGACUGGGGCUAAGUCGUAACAAGGUAAC